GAUGAACGCUGGCGGCGUGCCUAAUACAUGCAAGUCGAGCGAACGGACGAGAAGCUUGCUUCUCUGAUGUUAGCGGCGGACGGGUGAGCAACACGUGGAUAACCUACCUAUAAGACUGGGAUAACUUCGGGAAACCGGAGCUAAUACCGGAUAAUAUUUUGAACCGCAUGGUUCAAAAGUGAAAGACGGUCUUGCUGUCACUUAUAGAUGGAUCCGCGCUGCAUUAGCUAGUUGGUAAGGUAACGGCUUACCAAGGCAACGAUGCAUAGCCGACCUGAGAGGGUGAUCGGCCACACUGGAACUGAGACACGGUCCAGACUCCUACGGGAGGCAGCAGUAGGGAAUCUUCCACAAUGGGCGAAAGCCUGACGGAGCAACGCCGCGUGAGUGAUGAAGGUCUUCGGAUCGUAAAACUCUGUUAUUAGGGAAGAACAUAUGUGUACGUAACUGUGCACAUCUUGACGGUACCUAAUCAGAAAGCCACGGCUAACUACGUG
This 497-nucleotide ribosomal RNA is filed under the name uncultured bacterium. RNAcentral describes it as "partial 16S ribosomal RNA". It matches the Rfam family "Bacterial small subunit ribosomal RNA", at positions 28 to 507 of the family's 1533-position model. The record is from RNAcentral.